Molecule: ribosomal RNA, 253 nt
Filed under: uncultured bacterium
Lineage: Bacteria
Description: partial 16S ribosomal RNA
Rfam family: Bacterial small subunit ribosomal RNA
Source: RNAcentral
UACAGAGGGUGCGAGCGUUAAUCGGAAUUACUGGGCGUAAAGAGCGCGUAGGCGGUCGUGUAAGUCAGAUGUGAAAGACCUUGGCUCAACCAGGGAACUGCAUUUGAUACUGCAUAACUAGAGUAUGGUAGAGGAAAGUGGAAUUUCCGGUGUAGCGGUGAAAUGCGUAGAUACCGGAAGGAACACCAGUGGCGAAGGCGACUUUCUGGACCAAUACUGACGCUGAGGCGCGAAAGCGUGGGGAGCAAACAGG